GUCAGCUCUGGUAUUCGUCUUGCUUUGUUCAGAAGAAGAUCUGGAUGUGUUUGACCUAAAGAAAUACUCUGCAUCAGAGGAGGCUCUUCCGGGGCUGCUGCCUGUGGACAAAGCCUCCAAGAAAGCUCUGUAAGUGGAUUUAUGAAUAAAACUGUCACGGUCUGGCUGGCAGACCGUGGGGAUGUGGGGAAAGGAGGACCCAGUCGCGGUACUCUGCGAUGCAAACGGUGCUCUUUAUUUACAGUGAGGUAACAGAUGCACAAUAAACCCCCUUUGCUCCCUAGACUCCCGUGUGUGUGUUCCCCUCUGACGUCCGUGCUCGUGCUCCCGGCAGUUGUGUUUCUGCACACCCUGUGCGUGCUGCCCUUCUGGUCCCUCGUUCCACCUGCAGGACAAUAACAGAAGCAGCCGUUAACACUGACCCCGCGCGUACACACGAUCCGUACUUCCGAAUGCUACACACACUGACUUGGAGUGUAGCUUAAUGAUCCCGCGCCGGUGGGAGCUCCAACACUCUCCUAAAUAGCUCCCCCGACGAGCCCUGAUCAGCACCAGGUGUGUGGCAGGGACUUCAGGUGUGGCCAGUCCUCCAGCAGGGCCACACCCAUCAGGCCUGCAGGUGGCUGUCCUCCAUCCUACAGCCACACCUAUACACCCACACCCUGCCUAUACAUAUAACGAGUGGACCACAGAAUAACACAGCAUUGUGCAGACAAACACACAUCCCCAAAUAACCAUAAUAAUAAUAAUAAUAAUAAUAAUGGUCCAUCCUGCUCACGGACCCCCGAGUCCUCCAGAGCCGGGUCCGUGACAAAAACAAAAGCUUUUUAUCGAACAAAGCUGCUCAUUUUUAAUUGUUUUUCAGGUUGAGUUGUUGUAACCUGUCAGAGAGAACUUGCAAAGCUCUGUCCUCGGCUCUAAGCUCAGAAACAUGUAUUCUGGGAGAACUAGACCUGAGUAACAACAACCUGCAAGAUUCAGGAGUGAAACUUCUUUCUGCUGGUCUGAUGAGUCCAAACUGGAAACUGGAAACUCUCAGGCUGUACUUCCCUGACCUCAGCUCUGAGCUCAAAUCAUUCCCACUUGAAAGAGCUUGACCUUCGCUACAAUCAUCCAGGAAAAUUAAAAGUGAGGCAGAGACUCAAAGAUCCACACUGGAAACUCAGGCUCGACCAUGGUGGACAGCAGUGGUUAAAACCUGGUCUGGGGAAGUAUUUCUGUGAAUUAAAAGUGGACACGACUUCAAUAAAUAAAAAACUCAAACUGUCUGACAACAACAUGAAGGUGACCGUUGUGGAGGACAAGCAGCCAUAUCCUGAUCAUCCAGACAGAUUUGACUGGUGGAAACAGCUUGUGCAAAAAUGGGCUGAUUGGUCGCUCUUACUGGGAAGUUGAGUGGAAAGGAGACAGUUUUAUAUCAGUGAGUUACAAAAGCAUCAGAAGAAGAGGAAACAGUGCCGACUGUAAAUUUGGGGAAAUGAUCAGUCCUGGAGUCUGAUGUGUUCUGAUGCUUUUGGUUACUCAUUCUGGCACAACAAUAGAGAAACACCCAUCUUCUCCUCCUCCUCCUCAGUCUCUCACAGUGUAGGGGUGUAUGUGGACUGUCCUGCUGGCACUCUGUCCUUCUACGGAGUCUCCUCUGGCACUCUGAUCCACCUCCACACCUUCAGCACCACAUUCACUGAACCUCUGUGUCCUGGGUUUGGACUGUGGUCCAGUGACUCAUCUGUGUUUCUGAGUCCUUUGUGUACUAACAAGUCUGUAGAGCUAGACUGUUUAGAAGAGACAGAAACUACAAGUCGAAAGCUGAAUGUGGAUGAUGUUUCUCUUUUGUUUGCUUUGAAUCACAUAUUCUGAGAUUGAUAUGUUGUGAUGUGAUUUUGCUUUGCAUGCUUAUCUCCUCACCACUUUACUUUGAACUCACUGAUUGUUAACCUCUAAUAUCUCUAAUAUCAGCACAUAAAUAUGUGGGGACGUCUGAAAUGUGCAAAAUCACAGGCUGAAGCCAAAUUUUGGAAGGCUCAGACUUUUUAAAUGUCACCAUUACUGUUGGAUAUAAAAGUUGGCAGUGCCCAUUUUACGGCUGUUUACUGCAGGAGCAUAACUGUAAUGUUUUUGUAAACUUUAACAGUUUACUGUUUACACAAUAAUAAUAAUAAACACAUUACUUUUGCAUUUCAGAUAAAAUAGCAUGUCAACAGAAAAGGGUUUACCUUUUCUGUUGACAUGCUAUUUUAUCUCAAGAUUAACUAUUUUUAAAGACUAUGAUGUUUGUGAAUUAAUGGUUGCAGUUUUAUAAAUCUAAGAAACAUUUAAAGGUUUUAGUUCAAGUAAUGUUAAAAGCUGUUUUACAAAGUGCCAAAAAUUGUAAAUCAUUCAGUAAUCAUUAAUAAAGCUUAAACAUAUCAAAUGUUCCAUGAGGGCAAGAAUAAACUGUUAAUGCUUUACUUAUAAUAUUAACAUAAGUAAAAGUCUAUAUGUUGUGUUUAUUUUCAUAUAUAUGUGUUGUUUAUAUUUGUCACCAGCAGUGUGGCUGAUUACUUGAC
Long non-coding RNA from Oreochromis aureus, 2546 nucleotides. RefSeq lists it as uncharacterized. Lineage: Eukaryota; Metazoa; Chordata; Actinopteri; Cichliformes; Cichlidae. The transcript is spliced from 4 exons. The record is from RefSeq and is a predicted model, not a curated record.